Phasianus colchicus (ring-necked pheasant) is the source of this 407-nucleotide long non-coding RNA. RefSeq lists it as uncharacterized. Lineage: Eukaryota; Metazoa; Chordata; Aves; Galliformes; Phasianidae. The record is from RefSeq and is a predicted model, not a curated record.
UCAAGCAUGAUUUUGCCUUUGUGAAUCCUGAUAUCUUUCUCUUCCACUUGCUUGCAGAUGACAUCCAGAAUAAGCUGCACCAUCUCCUUCCCAGGAACGGAGUGUGGAUGUGACAUCAGGAUUUCCUUGCCCUGUAACUUGCAUAAACCGUCUACUUAACAGCAGUUCUCAAAUUCAAGCAGAGAUGACAGAACAGACUAUGUAGGUAAAAAGACAGAAUCACAAAAUCAUGGAGGUUGGAAUGGACUUUUGGAGAUCAUCUACUCCAGCCCUCCUGCUAAAGCAGAUUGCCUGGAAUAGGUCGCACAGCAUCCAAAUGGGUUUUUAAUAUCUCCAGAGGAGACACCACCACCUCUCUGGGCGGCUUCUUCCAAUGUUAUGUCAUUCUCAAAAUAAAGAAGCUUUUU